GGUUAAGCGACUAAGCGUACACGGUGGAUGCCCUGGCAGUCAGAGGCGAUGAAGGACGUGCUAAUCUGCGAUAAGCGUCGGUAAGGUGAUAUGAACCGUUAUAACCGGCGAUUUCCGAAUGGGGAAACCCAGUGUGAUUCGUCACACUAUCAUUAACUGAAUCCAUAGGUUAAUGAGGCGAACCGGGGGAACUGAAACAUCUAAGUACCCCGAGGAAAAGAAAUCAACCGAGAUUCCCCCAGUAGCGGCGAGCGAACGGGGAGCAGCCCAGAGCCUGAAUCAGUGUGUGUGUUAGUGGAAGCGUCUGGAAAGGCGCGCGAUACAGGGUGACAGCCCCGUACACAAAAAUGCACAUGCUGUGAGCUCGAUGAGUAGGGCGGGACACGUGGUAUCCUGUCUGAAUAUGGGGGGACCAUCCUCCAAGGCUAAAUACUCCUGACUGACCGAUAGUGAACCAGUACCGUGAGGGAAAGGCGAAAAGAACCCCGGCGAGGGGAGUGAAAAAGAACCUGAAACCGUGUACGUACAAGCAGUGGGAGCACGCUUAGGCGUGUGACUGCGUACCUUUUGUAUAAUGGGUCAGCGACUUAUAUUCUGUAGCAAGGUUAACCGAAUAGGGGAGCCGAAGGGAAACCGAGUCUUAACUGGGCGUUAAGUUGCAGGGUAUAGACCCGAAACCCGGUGAUCUAGCCAUGGGCAGGUUGAAGGUUGGGUAACACUAACUGGAGGACCGAACCGACUAAUGUUGAAAAAUUAGCGGAUGACUUGUGGCUGGGGGUGAAAGGCCAAUCAAACCGGGAGAUAGCUGGUUCUCCCCGAAAGCUAUUUAGGUAGCGCCUCGUGAAUUCAUCUCCGGGGGUAGAGCACUGUUUCGGCAAGGGGGUCAUCCCGACUUACCAACCCGAUGCAAACUGCGAAUACCGGAGAAUGUUAUCACGGGAGACACACGGCGGGUGCUAACGUCCGUCGUGAAGAGGGAAACAACCCAGACCGCCAGCUAAGGUCCCAAAGUCAUGGUUAAGUGGGAAACGAUGUGGGAAGGCCCAGACAGCCAGGAUGUUGGCUUAGAAGCAGCCAUCAUUUAAAGAAAGCGUAAUAGCUCACUGGUCGAGUCGGCCUGCGCGGAAGAUGUAACGGGGCUAAACCAUGCACCGAAGCUGCGGCAGCGACACUAUGUGUUGUUGGGUAGGGGAGCGUUCUGUAAGCCUGCGAAGGUGUGCUGUGAGGCAUGCUGGAGGUAUCAGAAGUGCGAAUGCUGACAUAAGUAACGAUAAAGCGGGUGAAAAGCCCGCUCGCCGGAAGACCAAGGGUUCCUGUCCAACGUUAAUCGGGGCAGGGUGAGUCGACCCCUAAGGCGAGGCCGAAAGGCGUAGUCGAUGGGAAACAGGUUAAUAUUCCUGUACUUGGUGUUACUGCGAAGGGGGGACGGAGAAGGCUAUGUUGGCCGGGCGACGGUUGUCCCGGUUUAAGCGUGUAGGCUGGUUUUCCAGGCAAAUCCGGAAAAUCAAGGCUGAGGCGUGAUGACGAGGCACUACGGUGCUGAAGCAACAAAUGCCCUGCUUCCAGGAAAAGCCUCUAAGCAUCAGGUAACAUCAAAUCGUACCCCAAACCGACACAGGUGGUCAGGUAGAGAAUACCAAGGCGCUUGAGAGAACUCGGGUGAAGGAACUAGGCAAAAUGGUGCCGUAACUUCGGGAGAAGGCACGCUGAUAUGUAGGUGAAGUCCCUCGCGGAUGGAGCUGAAAUCAGUCGAAGAUACCAGCUGGCUGCAACUGUUUAUUAAAAACACAGCACUGUGCAAACACGAAAGUGGACGUAUACGGUGUGACGCCUGCCCGGUGCCGGAAGGUUAAUUGAUGGGGUCAGCGCAAGCGAAGCUCUUGAUCGAAGCCCCGGUAAACGGCGGCCGUAACUAUAACGGUCCUAAGGUAGCGAAAUUCCUUGUCGGGUAAGUUCCGACCUGCACGAAUGGCGUAAUGAUGGCCAGGCUGUCUCCACCCGAGACUCAGUGAAAUUGAACUCGCUGUGAAGAUGCAGUGUACCCGCGGCAAGACGGAAAGACCCCGUGAACCUUUACUAUAGCUUGACACUGAACAUUGAGCCUUGAUGUGUAGGAUAGGUGGGAGGCUUUGAAGUGUGGACGCCAGUCUGCAUGGAGCCGGCCUUGAAAUACCACCCUUUAAUGUUUGAUGUUCUAACGUUGACCCGUGAUCCGGGUUGCGGACAGUGUCUGGUGGGUAGUUUGACUGGGGCGGUCUCCUCCUAAAGAGUAACGGAGGAGCACGAAGGUUGGCUAAUCCUGGUCGGACAUCAGGAGGUUAGUGCAAUGGCAUAAGCCAGCUUGACUGCGAGCGUGACGGCGCGAGCAGGUGCGAAAGCAGGUCAUAGUGAUCCGGUGGUUCUGAAUGGAAGGGCCAUCGCUCAACGGAUAAAAGGUACUCCGGGGAUAACAGGCUGAUACCGCCCAAGAGUUCAUAUCGACGGCGGUGUUUGGCACCUCGAUGUCGGCUCAUCACAUCCUGGGGCUGAAGUAGGUCCCAAGGGUAUGGCUGUUCGCCAUUUAAAGUGGUACGCGAGCUGGGUUUAGAACGUCGUGAGACAGUUCGGUCCCUAUCUGCCGUGGGCGCUGGAGAACUGAGGGGGGCUGCUCCUAGUACGAGAGGACCGGAGUGGACGCAUCACUGGUGUUCGGGUUGUCAUGCCAAUGGCACUGCCCGGUAGCUAAAUGCGGAAGAGAUAAGUGCUGAAAGCAUCUAAGCACGAAACUUGCCCCGAGAUGAGUUCUCCCUGACUCCUUGAGAGUCCUGAAGGAACGUUGAAGACGACGACGUUGAUAGGCCGGGUGUGUAAGCGCAGCGAUGCGUUGAGCUAACCGGUACUAAUGAACCGUGAGGCUUAACCUU
This 2903-nucleotide ribosomal RNA is filed under the name Escherichia coli. RNAcentral describes it as "23S ribosomal RNA". It matches the Rfam family "Bacterial large subunit ribosomal RNA". The record is from RNAcentral. Lineage: Bacteria; Pseudomonadati; Pseudomonadota; Gammaproteobacteria; Enterobacterales; Enterobacteriaceae.